CCUACGGGUGGCAGCAGUGGGGAAUAUUGCACAAUGGGGGGAACCCUGAACUAGCGAAGUCGCGUGAGUGAAGGAGUAUUUCGGUAUGUAAAGCCCUAUCAGCAGGGAAGAACAAUGACGGUACCUGACUAAGAAGCACCGGCUAAAUACGUGCCAGCAGCCGCGGUAAUACGUAGGGGGCAAGCGUUAUCCGGAUUUACUGGGUGUAAAGGGAGCGUAGGCGGCGCGGUAAGUCUGGAGUGAAAGUCCGCGGCCCAACCGCGGGAGUGCAUUGGAAACUGGUGAGCUGGAGUGCCGGAGGGGUAGGCGGAAUUCCUAGUGUAGCGGUGAAAUGCGUAGAUAUUAGGAGGAACACCAGUGGCGAAGGCGGCCUACUGGACGGUGACUGACGCUGAGGCUCGAAAGCGUGGGGAGCAAACAGGAUUAGAUACCCCUGUAGUC
Molecule: ribosomal RNA, 441 nt
Filed under: uncultured bacterium
Lineage: Bacteria
Description: partial 16S ribosomal RNA
Rfam family: Bacterial small subunit ribosomal RNA
Source: RNAcentral